UGGGGAAUAUUGGACAAUGGGGGCAACCCUGAUCCAGCAAUGCCGCGUGAGUGAUGAAGGCCUUCGGGUUGUAAAGCUCUUUUGGCGGGGACGAUGAUGACGGUACCCGCAGAAUAAGCCCCGGCUAACUUCGUGCCAGCAGCCGCGGUAAUACGAAGGGGGCUAGCGUUGUUCGGAAUUACUGGGCGUAAAGGGCGCGUAGGCGGUCCUGAUCGUCGGAUGUGAAAGGCCUGGGCUCAACCUGGGAAUGGCAUCCGAUACGGCGGGACUGGAGUGUGGGAGAGGUUGGUGGAAUUCCCAGUGUAGAGGUGAAAUUCGUAGAUAUUGGGAAGAACACCGGUGGCGAAGGCGGCCAACUGGACCACAACUGACGCUGAGGCGCGAAAGCGUGGGGAGCAAAC
RNAcentral lists this ribosomal RNA (401 nucleotides) under uncultured bacterium. RNAcentral describes it as "bacterial SSU rRNA". It matches the Rfam family "Bacterial small subunit ribosomal RNA", at positions 355 to 773 of the family's 1533-position model. The record is from RNAcentral.